UGCUAUGCCCAUAUCAUCCUGAACAUGCCCGAUCUCGUCUGAUCUUGGAAGCUAACCAGGGUGGGGCCUGGUUAGUAC
RNAcentral lists this ribosomal RNA (78 nucleotides) under Canis lupus dingo (dingo). The record is from RNAcentral. Lineage: Eukaryota; Metazoa; Chordata; Mammalia; Carnivora; Canidae.